UCUUCGGAGAGUUUGAUCCUGGCUCAGGACGAACGCUGGCGGCGUGCCUAAUACAUGCAAGUCGAGCGAAUCGAUGGGAGCUUGCUCCCUGAGAU
Molecule: ribosomal RNA, 95 nt
Filed under: Peribacillus simplex
Lineage: Bacteria; Bacillati; Bacillota; Bacilli; Caryophanales; Bacillaceae
Description: Bacillus simplex partial 16S ribosomal RNA
Rfam family: Bacterial small subunit ribosomal RNA
Source: RNAcentral